RNAcentral lists this ribosomal RNA (549 nucleotides) under uncultured Glomus. Its description in RNAcentral is "SSU rRNA". It matches the Rfam family "Eukaryotic small subunit ribosomal RNA", at positions 548 to 1098 of the family's 1831-position model. The record is from RNAcentral. Lineage: Eukaryota; Fungi; Glomeromycota; Glomeromycetes; Glomerales; Glomeraceae.
UUGGAGGGCAAGUCUGGUGCCAGCAGCCGCGGUAAUUCCAGCUCCAAUAGCGUAUAUUAAAGUUGUUGCAGUUAAAAAGCUCGUAGUUGAAUUUCGGGGUCAGUAGGUUGGUCGUGCCACUGGUACGUACUGGUCUCACUGAUUCCUCCUUCCUGAUGAACCGUAAUGCCAUUAAUUUGGUGUUGCGGGGAAACUGGACUGUUACUUUGAAAAAAUUAGAGUGUUUAAAGCAGGCUAACGCUUGAAUACAUUAGCAUGGAAUAAUGAAAUAGGACGUUCGAUCCUAUUUUGUUGGUUUCUGGGAUUGACGUAAUGAUUAAUAGGGAUAGUUGGGGGCAUUAGUAUUCAAUUGUCAGAGGUGAAAUUCUUGGAUUUAUUGAAGACUAACUACUGCGAAAGCAUUUGCCAAGGAUGUUUUCAUUAAUCAAGAACGAAAGUUAGGGGAUCGAAGACGAUCAGAUACCGUCGUAGUCUUAACCACAAACUAUGCCGACUAGGGAUCGGAUGAUGUUAAUUUUUUAAUGACUCAUUCGGCGCCUUACGGGAAAC